CCUACGGGUGGCAGCAGUGAGGAAUAUUGGUCAAUGGGCUUACGCCUGAACCAGCCAAGUCGCGUGAGGGAAGACUGCCCUAUGGGUUGUAAACCUCUUUUGUCAGGGAGCAACGCCGGCUACGUGUAGCCGGACUGAGAGUACCUGAAGAAAAAGCAUCGGCUAACUCCGUGCCAGCAGCCGCGGUAAUACUGAGGAUCCGAGCGUUAUCCGGAUUCAUUGGGUUUAAAGGGUGCGUAGGUUGUUUUAUAAGUUAGCGGUGAAAUACCGAUGCUCAACAUCGGGGCUGCCGCUGAUACUGUAGGACUAGAGCUCGGAUGCAGCAGGCGGAAUGUGUAGUGUAGCGGUGAAAUGCAUAGAUAUCACGCAGAACUCCGAUUGCGAAGGCAGCAUACCGGCGCCCGACUGACGCUGAGGCACGAAAGCGUGGGGAUCGAACAGGAUUAGAUACCCGUGUAGUC
Molecule: ribosomal RNA, 461 nt
Filed under: uncultured bacterium
Lineage: Bacteria
Description: partial 16S ribosomal RNA
Rfam family: Bacterial small subunit ribosomal RNA
Source: RNAcentral